AUACAUUAUAAUUACAUACAAUAUUCAAAUAGAUUUAGUUAUGUACCGGAGGAGCAAAUCUCUGCAAAAAGGAUGAAAUAUGGUCAAGCUGAUCUUGCAAAGAUUGUAUCUUCAACUCUUGGCUCUGCUUCAACUCCUCCAUAUCGGUCCUAUGACUCUGACUCAUCUCCUUUAUCCUUGUCUCAUAUGACUGUUUUAUCUGUGCCAUCUCUGCCUUCAGACUACAAACCUCUGCAGUGCUACUACCUUGUCUAGCAUCUUGGGUAUAUCGGCUCACUGCAGACAACUGAGUGGGGGUAACUCCAACACCAUAACCCCUCACUCGACCAUAACGUUCUGGGCCCAUUAAUUUGGUAUAGACCUGAGCCUCGAUGCGACUGGCCGCAUCGGAUGAUGAUGACUCCCCGACACGCUCUGAAAUAAGAGUUGUAGCUCUUUCCUAUAUAUCUCUACAAAAAAAUGUCACAUUAAU
Molecule: long non-coding RNA, 472 nt
Filed under: Phoenix dactylifera (date palm)
Lineage: Eukaryota; Viridiplantae; Streptophyta; Magnoliopsida; Arecales; Arecaceae
Description: long non-coding RNA (PDAC_LNC019434)
Source: RNAcentral